This 77-nucleotide transfer RNA is filed under the name Phenylobacterium sp. RNAcentral's name for it is "tRNA-His". It matches the Rfam family "tRNA". From Rfam's summary of the family: Transfer RNA (tRNA) molecules are approximately 80 nucleotides in length. Their secondary structure includes four short double-helical elements and three loops (D, anti-codon, and T loops). Lineage: Bacteria; Pseudomonadati; Pseudomonadota; Alphaproteobacteria; Caulobacterales; Caulobacteraceae. The record is from RNAcentral.
GCCGCCUUAGCUCAGUUGGUUAGAGCGCCGGUUUGUGGAACCGGAGGUCCUCAGUUCAAGCCUGAGAGGCGGUGCCA